GGCUCAGGACGAACGCUGGCGGCGUGCCUAAUACAUGCAAGUCGAACGGUCUUUCUAUGGAAGCUUGCUUCCACUGAGAAGAUAGUGGCGAACGGGUGAGUAACACGUGGGUAACCUGCCCAUAAGAGGGGGGAUAACAUCCGGAAACGGGUGCUAAUACCGCAUAGUUUUCUUGAUCGCAUGAUCGGGAAAGGAAAGACGGCCUUUGUGCUGUCGCUUAUGGAUGGACCCGCGGCGUAUUAGUUAGUUGGUGGGGUAACGGCUCACCAAGACGAUGAUACGUAGCCGACCUGAGAGGGUGAUCGGCCACAUUGGGACUGAGACACGGCCCAAACUCCUACGGGAGGCAGCAGUAGGGAAUCUUCCGCAAUGGACGAAAGUCUGACGGAGCAACGCCGCGUGAGUGAAGAAAAGGUUUUCGGAUCGUAAAACUCUGUUGUCAGAGAAGAACAAGUUGGAGAGUAACUGCUCCAGCCUUGACGGUAUCUGACCAGAAAGCCACGGCUAACUACGUGCCAGCCGCAGC
This 526-nucleotide ribosomal RNA is filed under the name uncultured bacterium. RNAcentral's name for it is "bacterial SSU rRNA". It matches the Rfam family "Bacterial small subunit ribosomal RNA", at positions 21 to 518 of the family's 1533-position model. The record is from RNAcentral.